AUCCAUCUGACGAGUCCCAAACAGGACGAAGUGGAGCUCGUCUUGGAU
Molecule: non-coding RNA, 48 nt
Filed under: Schistosoma mansoni
Lineage: Eukaryota; Metazoa; Platyhelminthes; Trematoda; Strigeidida; Schistosomatidae
Source: RNAcentral